GGUAGUCCACGCCCUAAACGAUGUAUGCUAGAUCGGCCAGGCUCUGACGUCUGGCUGGUCGGAGAGAAAUUGUUAAGCAUACCGCCUGGGGAGUACGGUCGCAAGGCUAAAACUCAAAGGAAUUGACGGGGGGCUCACACAAGCGGUGGAGCAUGUUGCUUAAUUCGAAGCAACGCGCAGAACCUUACCUGGGUUUGACAUGCAUGGAUCAACCUCGUGAAAGCGAGGCCACAGCCGCAAGGCCGGAACAUGCACAGGUGCUGCAUGGCUGUCGUCAGCUCGUGCUGUGAAGUGUCGGGUUAAG
RNAcentral lists this ribosomal RNA (304 nucleotides) under uncultured bacterium. Its description in RNAcentral is "bacterial SSU rRNA". It matches the Rfam family "Bacterial small subunit ribosomal RNA", at positions 789 to 1084 of the family's 1533-position model. The record is from RNAcentral.